Molecule: long non-coding RNA, 296 nt
Organism: Xenopus laevis (African clawed frog)
Lineage: Eukaryota; Metazoa; Chordata; Amphibia; Anura; Pipidae
Exons: 2
Source: RefSeq, a predicted model, not a curated record
UAUUCCCCUAACACAGAGUUACUGAAAUGUGAGGAAUAUGGAUUUAUUUUUCACCAAACAUUGUUUCUUAUCCCGUUGGUAAUGUCUAAUGUAUUUCUCAUUUAUUCUAACAGCAGAACCAACCACUCCACCCACAGAAACAGUGUGUGCCUGUCAUCACCAAGGAAAAGCAUAUAGGGCAGGUGAGGAAAUAGCAAGAAGUGACAGCAGAGAGAAGGAUGGAAAAUGCUACCGCUAUGUAUGUGACAGCACUUGCAAGAAAACAAAGCGAAUUGAGAAAGCAUGUGAACCACCAA